AGCUUCAAUAAUAGCAUAUAUUAAAGUUGUUGCAGUUAAAAAGCUUGUAGUUGAUUUGUGGUGUGUGUCGUGGUGUCCAUUAGUUUGGUUCUGCUGUGGCCGUGCCAUCCUUGGGUGGAUCCUUUAUGGCAUUAGGUUGUCGUUUAGGGGAUGCCCAUUGUUUACUGUGAAAAAAUUAGAGUGUUCAAAGCAAGCUUAUGCCGUUGAAUAUAUUAGCAUGGAAUAAUAAGAUAGGUCUUUGGUCCUAUUUUGUUGGUUUGCAGGCCGGAGAAAUUAUUAACAGGGACAGUUGGGGGUAUUCAUAUUCCAUUGUCUGAGGUGAAAUUCUUGGAUUUCUGGAAGACGAACUACUGCGAAAGCAUUUACCAAGGAUGUUUUAA
Molecule: ribosomal RNA, 380 nt
Filed under: uncultured eukaryote
Lineage: Eukaryota
Description: SSU rRNA
Rfam family: Eukaryotic small subunit ribosomal RNA
Source: RNAcentral